CUAGUUGGUAGGGUAACGGCUUACCAAGGCAACGAUCGAUAGCUGGUGUGAGAGCACGACCAGCCACACGGGCACUGAGAUACGGGCCCGACUCCUACGGGAGGCAGCAGUAAGGAAUAUUGGUCAAUGGACGAAAGUCUGAACCAGCCAUGCCGCGUGAGGGAUGAAGGUCCUCUGGAUUGUAAACCUCUUUUAUCUAUGAAGAAAUGUCCUGUUUCUACGGGAUUUGACGGUAAUAGAUGAAUAAGCACCGGCUAACUCCGUGCCAGCAGCCGCGGUAAUACGGAGGGUGCAAGCGUUAUCCGGAUUUACUGGGUUUAAAGGGUGCGUAGGUGGGUUGGUAAGUCAGUGGUGAAAUACUUUCGCUUAACGAAGGAACUGCCAUUGAUACUACCAGUCUUGAAUACAGUGGAGGUAGGCGGAAUGCGUCAUGUAGCGGUGAAAUGCUUAGAUAUGACGCAGAACACCAAUUGCGAAGGCAGCUUGCUACACUGUUAUUGACACUGAGGCACGAAAGCGUGGGGAUCAAACAGGAUUAGAUACCCUGGUAGUCCACGCCCUAAACGAUGAUUACUCGAUCUCAGCGAUACACUGUUGGGGUCUAUGUGAAAGCAUUAAGUAAUCCACCUGGGGAGUACGAUCGCAAGAUUGAAACUCAAAGGAAUUGACG
This 670-nucleotide ribosomal RNA is filed under the name uncultured Bacteroidota bacterium. RNAcentral's name for it is "SSU rRNA". It matches the Rfam family "Bacterial small subunit ribosomal RNA", at positions 245 to 915 of the family's 1533-position model. The record is from RNAcentral. Lineage: Bacteria; Pseudomonadati; Bacteroidota.